Long non-coding RNA from Ostrea edulis (European flat oyster), 380 nucleotides. RefSeq lists it as uncharacterized. The record is from RefSeq and is a predicted model, not a curated record. The transcript is spliced from 3 exons. Lineage: Eukaryota; Metazoa; Mollusca; Bivalvia; Ostreida; Ostreidae.
UCAAGGCUUUGUGUUAGAUCCCCUCUUAUCGACAUUUGAGUUGGAGGCUGGCGAGAAAGACACUGGGAUUAUCAAUAUUCGAGCAACCUUUCCAAGUGUAGUGAAUAUAAACGUUACAGUAACGACUGGUAAUGAGCCAUUGCAAACAUACAUCAAAUCAUAUUCCAUUUCACACGUUCAAAGACCCGUUUGUUCCAAUAUCAAUUCAAAUUUCUCAGCAUGCCCAUCUAAAGAAAUUACAUUCAAUAAUUGUUCAAACUACUUUUGGACGGCAGAGUCAUUAGUGAUUUUUUCCGAUACGAAAGUGUCGACAAUACAUGCUUUAAACAGAGACGUGAACUUAUCGUACGACGAUGUUAUGGAAGCCAGAGACACAAUCA